GUGGGAUCUGAGCCGCGUCUGCGACCUACACCACAGCUCACGGCAACGCCGGAUCCUUAACCCACUGAGCGAGGCCAGGGAUCAAACCCACAACCUCAUGGUUCCUAGUUGGAUUCGUUAACCACUGAGCCGCGAAGGGAACUCCGCACAUGUCCCCUUUUAUAUGAUACAUCUAGAAGAAGCAAAUCUGUAACUACAGACAAGCAGAAUAGAGGUUAUCAGGGGUUGGAAGAAAGAGGGAAUAGGGAAUGAUUAAGAAGUAGAGUUUUGAAAUUAGAGCAAGCUAGUUGCACAAAAUUCUGAAUACACUACAUACCAACGAACUAUACACUUUAAAAGCAUUAAUUAUAUCUGAUGUGAAUUUUGCCUCAAUAAAAGAAAAUCUGGUUGGACUAUAGUUUAUUCAUUGAUUGAUUCAUACAAAUACCUGAGUAUCUAACAUAUUCCAGGCACUCUCCUAGUAAAUGGAUUAAGGUGAUGGACAAAAAUUUUCUGCUGUGAAUUUAAAAAAGUAAAGUAAGGAGUUCCUGUUGUGGCUCAGUGGUAAUGAACCUGACUAGUAUCUGUGAGGAUGCAGGUUCAAUCCCUGGUCCCAUUCAGUGGAUUAAGGAUCAGGUGUUGCCAUGAGCUGCGGCUGUGGUGUAGGCUGACGGCUAUGGCUCUGAUUCAGAAGAAAAUAAUGGGGUUAUCUAUAGAUACUCCUUUUUGUGCAAAUAUACAAUGAUUUUUAGUUUCCAGAUAUUUUAUUCUUGGUUACAAAUAACCUCUUUACAAUCCAAUAAUGUGCAUCUUCCUUCUGCUCCUACUUGCCCUGCAGGGCCAGGUCGUACUCCCAAGACAGCUAACAAGGCCUGUUCUCCCUUUAGGAAAUCCCUCAGGAAAGGAAUCACCACGCGUGAUGCUAGGUCCUCACAUUUGCUCAUGUUCUCACUUAAUCUUCACAAUCACCUCUUCAGAGAUGAAAAAACUGAGUUCAGAGAAGACAAGUCACUAUCAGUUAGUCAAAGGAAGAGCCAGAAGUCACCUCAGGUGUGACUUCAGACCCAGACUCCUUACAUACACAAUUCGCCUCCUCUGAGAUGGUCUAAGCACAUCCUAGGCCAGACUGGAAAGAAAAAAAAAAAUGAAGUGACACUGUCCUUGAGGAGCCUGUCUUGUCAACACUGAGGCCCGACCAAGACACAUCAGAGCGUCCCUCGAGCUGGAGGAGGCGGGGCAGGCUCCAGAAACACGAGGGCUUUGGUAUCCAUCCCAGGCCACUGCCCUGACCCCAAAAGGCCUGCCUUGCUGGAAGAACUAAGAAAUCCAUCUUCUACCAGAACUCGAGGAGCCGGAUCUCGAGGCCUCCGUGCCCAGCUGUGUCCUCUUGGUUGGCGCGCUCUCUCCCUGGACUAGGUACCGACGGCUAUGAAACAAGCCCUCACCCUUGUCCAGCCAUCGCUGACCCUGCCUGGUUCCAUGUUCCAAACUUCACAGUGGUUCCGGCAGAAGGGCCACAUAAAAGCUUCUCCAGAAUAGCCAAUGAUGUCAUUCCCUUGCUAGCUGUGGAGAAGGCUUCUUUGUCUUGAACUCGUAAGUAAUCCACAGUUAUCAUGAAAUUCCAGACAAAUGGGUUUGAAUCUGCCUCUGCUGGGCUGCAACCAGCUCUCUAGAGUGACCAGACCUCCGGGACUUGUUCACUACUAAUCAGCUAAUGUUUGUAACUGUAAAGACAUAAUGACUAAAUACUACCAUCAUUACUAGACUACCAGUUUAAAUGGAAAUGAAGAGAGAGAGAGAGAAGAGAACGCACGUUAGUAAAUCAGCUUUGGGACGGUUCCUUGGCAAGAAGGACAGGGGCAAAGGACGCUUUAACUGAACUCAUUAAAGCACAUGGAAGGCGCGGUUGCUGCUGUGAGAACAUAACUCAAAGCAGAGAGAGGGAAUGGAAAUGAGUCAGUAUAGACAAAACCGAUGCUGUAGGAAAGGAAAGCCUGCAUGAUAACCCGAUGCUGGAAAAACGCACAGCUUCUAUAAGAAGCACUACACAGCAGCAAAACUAAAACAUCUAGAAUCUGAAAGCAAAACUGAAAAGUCUAGAAUAAGAACAAAAUCCAAAGCCAGAUUUUAAGUCAGCCUAAACUGACUGCAGAGCGCAGUGAUGAAAACAAGCACGUGGGUCCAAGAGGCUGCUGCUCUUCCUUCUCCCCGUCUGUAAAUGGGGGAGGGUCUCCCUAAGGCAGCCGCCCAAAGGCGGCCCCAGGGGCAGCCGGGCCCCUUCUCCUGAGCCCCCUCUCCUGAAGGCGGCCACAGGGAACCACUGCAGGCUCAGGGCCACUGACAAGGGACUCCCUCCUCGACUGGCUCACUACCACUCACCCGCCCUGCAAAAAACACCCCCAAAGUACGGUGCCCCCAGGCUCCCAGGGCACCUACCAUCACAGCACCCGCCACACUGUGUUGAAACCAAAGAUUCUUCCGGCUUAGCCACCCCACAGAGCUCCAUGAGGACAGUGACCAAACAGGAUCUCACUCGACUUUUUAGCUUUGGCAGCUAGCAUAGCUCCUGGGUACAUUCUCAAAGACUGUGGGUUGAUUAAAUAAUUUUCAAUUAUCUCAAGUUGGAAUUAGAGGCCAAGCAGCUUCCCUGGGGCCAAUCUUGGAAAAACGAAGACUGCAAGGGGAAAAACAAACAAACAAACAAACAAAAACCGGUUCGCAGGGUGAACAGUCCCUGCUUUGCCAUUGUCUGACUCCUGACUCGGGACAGUUCCUCACCCAAACUCGGAGCCUCAGCUGCCUUCCGAACAAGACGAGGGACUCAACCAGUCUCCACGGUCCUCACCAACAAGAUCGGACGUGUCACGCUGACAUCCCAGGACCUUAACACCCUGACUCCCCGACGCCUCCAUCCUCCGUUACCAUAAAAAUCAGCAUCAGCAGAAUGCUUUCGCAUCCAUUUCAUUCCUAAGGAGCAAGUAUGCACGUGGUACUUUUAGUCUCAUUUUACAGAUGGGGAAACCAGCUCAGAGAGGCCCAGCAGCCUACCCAAGGUCACUCUGCUGGCGUGGACGGGGGGCAGGGCUGACACCCAGAUCUUUAACGCUGGUGCCAUCCACCACAGCCACACUCUCAGGCUUCUCAGGUGGACAGCCUAGGGACACACGGUGGGAAUGCCAGGAGAUCCCUCCCCAGCAGGUCCUGGCGAAGCCAAGGAUGAACACAACGCAUCUUUUGGAGAAUCAAAGGUACGUAAAAUCUGAAGGGACGAAGUAUGUUUACAAUAACAUGUUUCUCAAAAAAAGACGUAUUAUUGAUACAGUGUAAAUUUCCUAUUAAAUUUUAAAAUAAAACUUAAUGGGCUUGGACUUCUAUCAAGGGUUUGAGACAUACUGCACUAACACCAUGCCAUACGCCCUUUCUCACACAGAAAACCCUUCUGAAACCAGAACACUUAAUUUACCCCAUAAUAACAUUUCAAACAUCAGGCUAUAUUAAUCCAAAAAAGGCAGAAUUUAAUUUCUGGAAUAAAGUUGUGACUUCUGGGCAUUACUGGGCAAGGAAGACCUCAAGAGAACUAGAUUCCCUGCUCCUCCUUUUUAGAUGAUUAAAAGCACCCACGAAAGUUAAAAGGUCGAAUGAAGCCUCCCAGAUUAUAAACGCCAUAAUGCAAUGAAUCAAGGAGCCAAGCGCUCUCAGAACGGUGGGGGGGGGGGGGGGCACAGUCAAGGGAGGCGGCUCCAGGGCACAUCCACCUGCAAACA
RNAcentral lists this long non-coding RNA (3743 nucleotides) under Sus scrofa (pig). RNAcentral's name for it is "lncRNA (ENSSSCG00055021139.1)". The record is from RNAcentral. Lineage: Eukaryota; Metazoa; Chordata; Mammalia; Artiodactyla; Suidae.